GUUUUAUUGUUAUGUUUGGUUUUGUUUUAUGCUUUCAUCUCAUUUGGUGAUGAACAAACACACUGUGCAGGAUUGUUUCUGAGCUCUAGAAAUAUGGUAGUGCUUUGUCACUUUUCACUUUACACAAGGCCACAUUCAAACUGAGAAAAGUAUUGUUCCUAAACAUUGGGGCACGUGAAUCACAGGUAUUUAUUGUAAUAAAGAACAGUGCACUUUAGUGAGCCAGCUCUUUAACACAACCCAUCAACUUAAGAGACCAGAGAGGUUUUCAGCAACAUGGCCAGCACAGGCUGGAAGGGCAUGAUUUUUUUUCUGUGAGCUUUCCCAGAACUGCUGAUAUGUUCCAGUAAAAGCCUCUCAAGACUUCUGUUCAGUCUUAUGAAAUCUCACUAGCAACUAAAAGUUUCUGAGCAAUGCUGUCUUUGGCUGCCUAAUGGCUUGCUACUGUUUCAGUUCUCCUUUUGGAUCAUGCACAGAACUAUGCUGGCUGAAAACUGCUGUCACCAGAGAUGAUAGUUGACCUUCCUUUGACCCUGGUGUGCAAUGGGAUGCAGUCAGCAGUGUCUGUACCUUAAGGCUGGGUGAGGAAGGGCAAUGAACAACGCUCAGCAUCCUUCCCUGUGGUCUGGGAAAUCCUCUUCCAACACAAUUGCACUGUGGCAAUUAUCAGAGACAGUUGCCACAGCCCUCACUGUCAAGUUGCUUUUCAGAAUGAAAAUGAUGGUUGGGGAGCUUGGAUACGAUGAUAAAGAUGACUCCCAUCUGAAGUAG
RNAcentral lists this long non-coding RNA (771 nucleotides) under Parus major (Great Tit). RNAcentral describes it as "lncRNA (ENSPMJG00000016444.1)". The record is from RNAcentral. Lineage: Eukaryota; Metazoa; Chordata; Aves; Passeriformes; Paridae.